This is a long non-coding RNA of Neomonachus schauinslandi (Hawaiian monk seal), 517 nucleotides long. RefSeq lists it as uncharacterized. Lineage: Eukaryota; Metazoa; Chordata; Mammalia; Carnivora; Phocidae. The record is from RefSeq and is a predicted model, not a curated record. The transcript is spliced from 6 exons.
CCGAGAUUGAGCUCUUCGCUGACAAUUGGAAGUGGCUUGUAUCGUUUUGGAUCUGAUGGAUAAAGAAAGGAGCCACACUGCCUCCAGAAGACUGUUCCCUUGGUCAUAAGAGAGAACAUCUGAAGGACCAUUCAAGCAAAAGCAAGAGCUGAACACACAGGAGCUGGUGCCUUAAGGGAGUGGAGGUCAUGAAAAGUCGAUGACAUGGAGGGCCAAGGAGAAGGUAGAUCUCAAGCCCUAAAAUCAUCACAUGUGCAACAUCUCUAGGCCAGGAUUUAUCUAUUCUGUCCAAGAAGAGAAUAAGGAAUGAGAAACUAAACCCUGGUAGGAAAAGGGUCUCAAGGAAGACAAGGCAUGGGGCCAAGGAAGACUGAGGGAGAUGGCGACCUGCUGAGGAGCCAGAGCAGCAGAAUCCCUGGGACUCACAGGUCGAUAUCUGCAUCAAGCAAAAGCCCGGAGAGACGGUCACAUAAUGUAUAUUCUAAAGCCACCACCACAAAACGACCAUGAGGCAGAA